AUCCCCCCCCCCCCCGGGCAUACCCUGGGAAUUUGACUUCAAGUCUUCUCCAGGGAGUAGGGAAUUUGACGUUCUAGGUCUUCCAUGUGGUGGGGCAUUUGAUAACGGGGUGGGGAAUUUGAACCGGAAGUCUUAAAAAUUUUGCCCGUUUUCGCGUGCUUCCUGCAUGCACAGAAAAUACUUCGCAUUGGCGGCAAAUACAGUUUUCUCAGAUUUCGAGGGAAACAGCUCAAUUUCGUGAAAAACUGGCUCAAAGAAACGGGCAUGGAAAAUCUAUGUGUUUCAUUUGAAGGUAUG
Non-coding RNA from Paramuricea clavata, 297 nucleotides. The record is from the annotation of a GenBank genome assembly. NCBI's taxonomy places the organism in Eukaryota, Metazoa, Cnidaria, Anthozoa, Malacalcyonacea, Plexauridae.